Molecule: ribosomal RNA, 257 nt
Filed under: uncultured bacterium
Lineage: Bacteria
Description: partial small subunit ribosomal RNA
Rfam family: Bacterial small subunit ribosomal RNA
Source: RNAcentral
AGGACGAACGCUGGCGGCGUGCUUAACACAUGCAAGUCGAACGGUGAACCUCCCUUCGGGGAGGGGAUCAGUGGCGAACGGGUGAGUAACACGUGAGCAACCUGCCCCUAGUUCUGGGAUAACCCCGGGAAACCGGAGCUAAUACCGGAUAUGAGACCGAGCGGCAUCACACGGUCUGGAAAGUUUUUCGACUAGGGAUGGGCUCGCGGCCUAUCAGCUUGUCGGUGGGGUAACGCCUACCAAGGCGACGACGGGUA